RNAcentral lists this ribosomal RNA (253 nucleotides) under uncultured bacterium. RNAcentral's name for it is "partial 16S ribosomal RNA". It matches the Rfam family "Bacterial small subunit ribosomal RNA", at positions 524 to 776 of the family's 1533-position model. The record is from RNAcentral.
UACGAAGGGGGCUAGCGUUGCUCGGAAUCACUGGGCGUAAAGCGCACGUAGGCGGAUUGCUAAGUCAGGGGUGAAAUCCUGGAGCUCAACUCCAGAACUGCCUUUGAUACUGGCGACCUUGAGUCCGGGAGAGGUGAGUGGAACUGCGAGUGUAGAGGUGAAAUUCGUAGAUAUUCGCAAGAACACCAGUGGCGAAGGCGGCUUUCUGGCCCGUAACUGACGCUGAGGCGCGAAGGCUGGGGUAGCGAACAGG